CGCACCUUAACUGCGCAGAUGUUUUAAAUACUUUGGCUCUGCUUUGGGUUGCUUCAGUUCAGCUCUGAAGUGUGGUGUCCUAUGAGCGGAUGUAGCUACUUCUACUCUUCAGCUGUUGAAGUUGGGAGAGGGGAGUCACUCAAAAAAGGCCUAUCACAUGACGAUUGGUUCGCGCCACUUUCAGUGCUUGGACCCGUCUACUCCACGGCAUAAGCGAUCUGGGAUGGUGCUGGAAAGGAAGCGGCUGUAUUUUCCCUUUUGCAUGCAGUGCUUUGGAGUCUGCUGUUCCCCAUCUCCCUUCUGUUCCCUGGAGUCUGGCUGUGCUUCGGUGUGCUCUUGCUGGGUCGGGCCUCGGGUGGGUGGGGGCUGCGCAGGGCAGGUGGAUUUGAGUAUUUGUCUCGCUGUUUUCGGGUGGAUGACUUUGCAAUUUUAGUGAUUUACAAGACUUCAAAAAAUUGCACGGUAUCCAUCUGUAAUCCGCCAGAUGUUCCAAGCUGCGUUUAAUUUUCUUCUCUGGCUUAUGCCUCUGUUAUGCUGCGUUAAGAUUUUUAAUUAAAUGUGUAUUUACUCCCUUUUCCAAAAUAAACAUUGAAAACCAUUCCCAUAACCUUGUUUCUCCUACAUUAAACAUUUUAGGUAAAAAGAGGGUGAAGGUAGGUCUUAUGCACAAUCAUAGGAGUAAUAAGUACACAUCCCUGAAAGUUAACCAUUAAUAAGGACAAAAAUGGCUGUGCACAACAGAAUAUGGGCCAAAUUAAUGCAUUAAAUGGAGUGGACCUGAAUCGAUCGUAUAACAUCGUAAGAACAUCUUUUCAUUUAUUUGCUUUCAAAAUCUAUCCAAAUCUGUUGUUUUAUGAUAAUGUGCAUAUGUGAAUUUAUAAAGGUGGUUUCUAAAGAUAGGCUUGCUUGUGUUAUCUGUGACAUCAGUCUUCCUUUUAAGGUGGCAGUUUUGCUGCUGAGAAUUUAAUUUUAUUGCACGGAAUUAGGGACCAAAUGUAGUUCACGGCGCAGUGUGGUUCUGCUUUGGUUGUAUUACUGCCAAAAAAUGUUUGCUUCAGUAAUAUUGCUUUCUACAGUUGAAUAGAUGUGGGUAGCAGUAAAUGAAAUGUAUUUGGUCAUAUAUACUAGCAAUAUUUAGCAGGGGUUAUAUCUUUUUAUCUAGCGAAUGCCCAUUAAAUGGCUUUUCCAGUUCAACACAACAUGAGGAACAAGAGCAGUUUCUUUUUGGAACUGAGCUGGAAGGCAUUAUUUCCACUACUGGAAAAGCAGGUUACUAGUGGGGUCUAGCAAAGGUUGAUGAAUUAAGUUUCCUCCAAUAACAGGCCCUCAACGUGGCAUUACGUCAUAUGCAAUUAUGUAUUGGCAUUGCGUAAUAGAAGCUCUAACGGUACUCUGUGAAAAAUUCUCUAGAAAACAGCGAAACAGUGGGAAGUUAAUCGUUCUUAAACCAAUGGAUGGGAAUGGCUUCCCACCCCAUACCCCCCCCCCCCUCGGUAAAAUAUCCGAGGAGUGAAAUUUUCAGAUAAAAUGUUUUGACCAUGAAAAUGUGGGAGUUGUGUAGAUUUCACUUGUAUAGCAGAUGCAAGGAAGAAAUUAGUGGGGGUGAGGGAUUGUAUAUUAAUAAAACUUUGUUUAUAUCAGUUUAUUAAAAUGUAUGGUAAAAUAAUUUUAAGUCUGCUUGAUGUAUUAAAAUACGCAGAAAUGGGCUGUGAUCUUUUUUUAAAAAGUUGAUAGUACCUGUAAAGUAAAUAAUGUUGAAAAGAGCACUUAACGACCAUGCAAGCUAAUGUUUAAUCUUUAUUUCAACUUUAUUUUCUCUGUAACCGUUUUUUGGCGUGAUCAGUACUUGAAAUAAAAUUUUGAUUAAAUUGUC
Long non-coding RNA from Anguilla anguilla (European eel), 1873 nucleotides. RefSeq lists it as uncharacterized. The record is from RefSeq and is a predicted model, not a curated record. The transcript is spliced from 4 exons. Lineage: Eukaryota; Metazoa; Chordata; Actinopteri; Anguilliformes; Anguillidae.